Lingula anatina is the source of this 258-nucleotide long non-coding RNA. The record is from RefSeq and is a predicted model, not a curated record. NCBI's taxonomy places the organism in Eukaryota, Metazoa, Brachiopoda, Lingulata, Lingulida, Lingulidae.
CAAUGCAUUAGAUGGCAUGGCUACCGGUACGUGACUGUGCUGCACAAGAUAUGUCACUUCUGAGAGGAAAACAGUUGAGUAUGAUCCUUAUCUCUUUGAUUCUGAUGAAGAACCUGUUGACAAAAGAAUCAAGAAAACAAAAGAGCCUGAGGAGAUUGUAGAAAACAGUUAUGGUGAUGGCAGUAGCAGUGUUGUAGAUCAAUUUCCGUCCUUACAAAAGUACAUAAGGUAAGCAGAUCUGCAAAUUUUCAUUUUGCU